Molecule: RNA transcript, 4477 nt
Organism: Drosophila santomea
Lineage: Eukaryota; Metazoa; Arthropoda; Insecta; Diptera; Drosophilidae
Gene: bnl
Gene name: rho GTPase-activating protein gacF
Exons: 6
Source: RefSeq, a predicted model, not a curated record
UUUGGGAACACACAGUGAGCGGAGCGUCCGCAGUCGCAGUAGCACUCGAAGUCCGCUUAUCCGCAUCCGCAGCCGCAUCCGCAGCGUUUUCGAAUUUUUCCGACCUUCCAUUCGAUCCGAUCCAUCUGGCACAUCCUAACCAUCUAAUCGUAACCCCAUCAUCGUGAUCGCGCCCGUAAUCGCUCCGUUUUGCCGCACUCGAUGUUCCGGUUUUGUGUGCAAUCGUGUCCAAAGGAGAUCGAAACAAUAAUCUCGGCGGAUAGGAAGUUUGAAACACGAAAGUUCUUUUCGAAAUCCAAGAGAGUCGUAACAAUUUAAAAAGGCCGCUAAAAUCGUUACGAUACGAGCAAUUCAAAGAUCUGAAAAUAUAUAAAAAUAUAAAUAUGGUUUGUGCUGUGUUUUAAAAGGGAAUAUCAGAAAAAUAUUAUGAAUAUGUUGAAUUGUUGUUGCCGUAAGUUCUAAAGUGUGCAAAGUGCAACUCUCUGAAAAUCAACGAAGAAUACAACGCGUCCAAAAAAAGAAUCGUAAAAUUGUAAAAAGCAAACAAACAUAAAAACAAGCUCGUCAACUAUGUUAGCCAACCAAAAUUUGUCCGCAUAAAAAAGCUGAGAUUGCUUCAUUUUUCGCCCCCCAACUUAACAGCGGGAAUUUCUGACAUGACAAGAAAGUCAUUGGCGUUGAUAAGAUGCAUUAUCAGCGGGGAAGACGAAGAUGAAGAUCCGCAACAGCAACAGCCACAGCAGCAAUUGAAAAGUGUACGAUAUGAUAACCUAAUUUCCUGCCAGGAAAGAGGCGAAACGAUUUUAAAGCAAAUUUAAACGGGCUCAGAGAGAGACUUUUAAACAAAGCAAAGUCAGUGAAAAGAAAAAAAAAAACGCAAUCGAAACGAAAGUAAAAGAUUUCUGAAAACGGGGCGUACAUAUGUUUCAACGACACCCGAGGGCGUGGCGAACGCCCAGUAAACUGGCAAAAAAUCUAUAAACAACUUCGAGACAAGCGAUUUAUACAAAAAUUAUAAACAUUCGGAUUCAGAUUCCGAACAACGGCUUGAGAAACUCCUGUGAACCAAAGUGGUGAUCUUUGAUGCGAAGAAACCUGCGCUUGGACUGGAGGGCCCUGGCGCUGCUGGGCGCCCUCCUCUCGUUUAUCAUUGCCUGGCGUGGCCUUGCAUCUGCGAUGCCCCUCAUGGCCAUGGACAACAACCUGACAGACUCAUCCGGAUCCACAUACAAAUCCACAUCCACAUCAAAAUCCCACAGCACGAACAAUAGCAAUCUGCUUAGUAAUAGUUAUCUACAAAGUGAUCAUAGUCGUAGUAGUUUAGUGCCGAGCGCAGUGAGUGAACGUAGUGUAAAUCAAUCCACAAAUCAAAGUAUUAAUGCUGAAUUUAAUCAGAGCUUAAGCACGCAUCCAACUGCCAUAACAAGCACACCGCAAACCCAAACUCAAACCCAAACCCAAGUCCAAUCCCAAUACCCAUCCCAGGAGGAGGACUUCGAUCAGAUGGAGGAGCCGCUGGGAUUCGUCAUCUCAGCGAUGCCGAACGAGCAUCUGGCGGUCCUGUCGCGUACCGAACGCAGCAUUCGUCACCGGAAUCAGCAGCAGCAGAAGAAGCACCAUCAUCAUCACCAGCAGCCCGCUGACAAUAAUUUCAUUGGUUCGAAAUCGAAAAGACUGAGCAACCCUAGAAGUAGUCUUAACAUAAAUAGCAGUAGCAGUAAGACACCCAUCAGCAAUCUGGACCGUAACGAACGCUCCACAGUGCCACAGUCCCAUUUGGCCUGGACCUCCCGCAAGAUCCAGCUGUAUAUUAAAAAUCGCAUCCUUCAGAUAUUGCGGGAUGGCGUUGUCAACGGAACCCAGGACGAGAAUAGUGAAUUCACGAUUCUCCAGCGAUCCACGGUGGAUGUGGGACGCAUCAAGCUGCAGAGUGUGGCCACUUGCCUGUAUCUCUGCAUGGACGCGUGCGGUGUUCCCUACGGCUCGAAAGACUUCACCGACGACUGCGUCUUCAACGAGAACAUGGGUCUUCAGAACUACAACACGUACUCCUCGACGUACCACUCUCAGGCGCGGCGGGUCUUCUACCUGGCUCUGAAUGGCAGUGGUCAGCCCCGCCGCACCCAGAUCCCGGCCAGCCGAUCGCUGGGCAAGCUGAGCACCUACACGAACGCCAUAACGGAGACGGUGCCGCAGGAGCGGGUGGAGCAGCUGAUCGCCAAGAAUUUUGGGGCCAAUCGCGUUAGGCACGGCGUGCGGCAACUCUGUGAUACGGGCAAGCCGCUGAUCGAGCUGAUCGAUGUGGCCAGAUUCAAGGGGCCGCCACAUUGCAGCAGCAACACAAGUGGCAGCAGCAGCAGUAGGAGCAGUAGUAAAAGUAGUAGCAAUAGCAGUAGCAGUUACGUUCCUGAGCCUGCGAUCAGCAGCCUGAGUAGUAUUAGUAACAGUAGUCAAAGCGAGAGCGGCCAUAUUAGCAGUAGCCUUAGUGGUAGCAGUAACAGUAAAAGUAACAGUAAUAGUAGUAGCAAUAGCAGUAGCAGUAACAGUAGUAGUAACAGUAACGGUAGCAAUAGUAGUAGACCAAGUGGAAGCAAGACCAACAAGAAGAAGAAGCCCAAGUGCAAGCCGCACGAGCAGGAGGACACUCAUAAUUGCCAAAAGCGCGGUGGAGCCGGAGCGGGAGCACUGCGAAAACUGGGGCCCAAGGCGAAGAGGUGCAAGGAGCUGCGCGAGAAGGCUGCCGCCGAGAAGCGAGCUCCGCCCAAUUGUGGCAAGAAGAAUGGGGCCAGGAAGAAUCCCGCAGAGGCAGCCAAAGCAGUGCAACAGGGACCCAAGGGAAACAUCCAGCACGUAGGCAAAAAGAAGCCAAACAAGGCGGCUAAACAGCGCCCAAAUGGCGGCAAAAAGCAGCAGCAACAGCAGCAGUUGCAGCAACAGCAACAGCCGCAGCAACAUCUGGCCAAAUCCAUUUCCGGUGGCAAGCGGAAGCACCGGAAAUUGGAUGCAAGCACCACCACCACUAUGGCCACCAGCCUGGCCUCGCCGCCAAGUAGCCACUGGGAGAGUAGCUCGCCCUUGCCCGCAUUUUCCCUCAGCGAAACCAGCGAUAGGGUGGAGCGCAACGUGCGCAUGAGCAGCGGUGAGGAGCAGGAGCAAGAUAACGACCAGGAUCAGGAUCAGGAGCAGGCUGAUCCGGCUGAUCCGGCGGAGCAGGGCGAGGAGGAGGCCGAGGGCGACGGGGGAUCCCUGGAGGAUGCCAGCUACGAGGACGCAAGUUCCGAGGCCCAAGGACGCAGCGGAGCAGCUGGCGAUGAUUCGCUCUACUACGAUUUCGGACUGUUGUCCCCCCGGCGAUGAUCCAAAAUGCAACCAAGAUCCCACUAAAGACGAUGAAUAUCAAUGUAUUACGACGGAGUCUCGAGUAUUUUAUAAGAACCUCUCUACCACCCAUUUGGAGUAUAAUUAUCAUGGAAAUGUAUUAUAAACGCUCGCCCAUCCAAUCAGAUAGAUGUAAAUCGAAGCCCUAACCUUACGCAACACGAACGACCCAAAAGAGUCUAUUGAAAUACUUGAGUCUCUGUGGCGGAACUUUCACGAUCGGUUGACGAUGAAAAUACUCAGAAAUACGACCACUCCGUUAAGUCUACCAGAAACAAAACUUGAAAACUUGCAAAACGCUUUCCGCAUACUGUAACCGAGUAAUGCGGUCAGAUAAUUCGAAUAUGUAAGAGGAAAUACAAUUGUAAAUAGAUACGCGGCUUAGUGAAGUAAGAUCCAUUUUUUGUCUGUACUGUCGAACCUCGCGUAGCCUUAGCCCUGUAAAUCAAUUUUGAAUGCAAUUUUUCCCACUCAAGGUAAAAAUCCCAAUGCAAAAGAAUGAAGCAAACGAAGCAUCGAAAACUAUUAUGAAAUAAAUUAACGAAAUGUAGAAAGGCAAAACUCACAAAUCACAAGAUUGUAUUUUCAUUUACAAUACAUACGAAACUAACAUUAAUAUUAAUUUAUUUGAUCAACGAGAUAAAAGCGUGAAAUUAUAGUUGUAGCUGUAUGAUGGAUUUAUUUAUUUAUUUAAAAAUAUUUAUUUAUAAACUACUAGGCCUAGACUAACAAACUUUGUUAUAACUUAAUGCAUUAAACCAACAUUUUCCAGAUAAGUCAGUAAACGAUCAACGAAAAGAGCAUGAGAAAAACGCGAAAAAACUAAACUAAAAAAUAAAGUAUAAAAAUACAUUAAUAUCAAAUGCGAGUGUGUUUUUGUCGAUAUGCCUGUGCCUGCAGCUAAUCGUCCUGGUUUUGCUCCGAAAAAGAGCCAUCCUGUGAGUGGAGAUCCUUCGUUGUAUCGUCGAAACUCAAUGGACCAACGAUCCACACAACAAAGCUAAAGUUCCUGAUCUUUAAGCAUAAGAGUUAUACAUUUAAAACUACACGUAGCAUUUAGUAUUUUCGUAUUUAUCGUUUAAGACUGAUAAGAGAACAC